GCCCUGGCCCUUCAUGGUCUGUCCCAGGCUUUGUGCCCUUCCCCAACAGCCUUUAUAGCCUAGUAGGGGAGAGAUUAUCCUAACAUAUCCUAACCCAGUGCCAGCCAACAGAAACACGAUUCGAGCCACAAGUGUAAUUUUAAUUGUUUUAGUAGCUACAUUAAACAAGUAAAAAGGGGAUCCCUGGGUGGCUCAGCGGUUUAGCGCCUGCCUUUGGCCCAGGGGGCGAUCCUGGAGUCCUGGGAUUGAGUCCCACGUCGGGCUCCCCCUCUGCCUGUGUCUCUGCCUCUCAAUCUCUCUCUCUGUGUCUAUCAUAAACAAACAAAUAAAUAAAUAAAUAAAUAAAUAAAUAAAUAAAUAAAUAAGUCUUAAAAAAUUAAAAAGGAAAAAAGAAUGGCUGGAGGCAGCCACCUCCUGUUAUGGGCAUCGGGGGAUGUUGGUGUGUCUGAGCUGGGUCUCUCCUCAUCUCCUUUUAACACCUCUGUCCAUCUUCUCCUCCCUUUGCCCCAGAGCUAAUGAGCUGAGGGCCCCCACUGAAAAAGCCUGUAUCCACCUAUUUCUCCCUUGAAUGCCCAGGCUCCAACUGGUUCCAGAGGAGCAUCCUGGGAGAGGUGGCCAGCAGAUGCCAGAUUCUGGCCACCUAGAAGCCCGAUGGCACCUGCAGGUGGUCCCUCCCCCACCUGGGCCCUGGGACCCGGCAAGCAGCCCAGCCCACCUGACUGUGGCCUCAAAUACUAGCCCCUGCCACUCAGAGUCGCUUACAAAACGUGGAGGUAAGGGACGCCUGGGUGCCUCAGAGGUUGAGCAACUGCCUUCGGCUCAGGGCAUGAUCCUGGGAUCCGGGAUCAAGUCCCACAUCAGGCUCCCUGCAUGGAGCCUGCUUCUCCCUCUGCCUGUGUCUCUGCUUCUCUCUGUGUGUCUCUCAUGAAUAAAUAAAUAAAAUCAUUUAAAAAAAAAAAAAGGUGGAGGUAAAAUGAGGUGAAGGGUCAGGUCCUUUACGACUCUGAUCUGACUCCACAGCAGAAUUUCCCAACAUUCACCACGCCUCCGGAGCACGUAGGGAGCAGUGGAGAAUAUCAACAUCUGGGGCGCCUCCCCCCCAUCUAGGACAAUUAGAUUGGAGCCCUGGGAGGUGGGGUCUCAAUAGCUUUUAAUGCUUCCAGCUGACUGAUGCUCCUUGUAUCUGGGGCGAGCCUGAGACUGGGCAUUUCCAGCCAGCUCCAGGAGAUGCUGAUGCUGCAGGUUCAGGACCACACUGACAGGAGGAGGUUGGCAGCACCUGCAUCCCUGGGCACCUCUUUAGAAAUGCAGUUGCAAUUGAUCCCCCAGUCUGGCUUCCACUGCUUCUGUGCGCUUGGGUAAACACACUUAUCUUCGAAUGCUGGGCUUCGGAGCUUACACUAUUAUAUUUGCUUUCUGAUAAUUCAUCAAGCUGUAUACUUAUGAUCUUGCCAGGGAAAGAGGGACAGGUUAUCCGGGACCCCCCCCCAAAAAAAAAGGAUGAGGAGUCCUGAUGCAACUGCACUUUGCCUUAGAGGCCGUGCACAUAGGGGCAGAAUUUGGGAGUCAAGAGGAUGAUGGUGGUACAUGCUUCUGCUUUCUUUUAGAAUUAAUUAAUUUAUUUAUUUAUUCAUGAGAGAUAGAGAGAGAGGCAGAGACACAGGCAGAGGAAGAAGCAGGCUCCAUGCAGGGAGCCUGACGUGGGACUCGAUCCGGGGUCUCCAGAAUCACGCCUGGACUGAAGGCAGGCGCUAAACCGCUGAGCCACCUGGCCUGCCCUUCUGCUCUCUUUCUAACACAGAAGAAAGAGGGGGAAGUGCAGGGGUCCAGCUCAGCUACCAAGGAGUCCCCUGGGCCAUGGAUGUUUGAAGUGGAUCUUGGGUGAGCCUCAGUUUCCUCAGCCGUACAGUGAGGCUGGUGAUGCCUCCUUCUCCAAGCUAUUCUGUUUUGGGUCAAACACACUCAAGCACAGCAGCUAACCUGGCACAGAUGAUUGUAUGAUCCAAUCCAGCCCCCGGUGAGGGCUUCCCAGGAAACAGGUUACAGCCAGCUCUCGGUCCUGGGGCCACACAUAGUGCUUAGUGAGGCAGGCAGACCUGGUUUGCCCCCCGUGAGUGCCCGUGCACCUCAGUUUGCUUGUCGGUUCCAGGCAGAUAGUCCAACCACUUUGGCAGGUUGUCGUAAGGAUUAAAGGGGGCCACGUGUGUGAAGUGUGGAGGCCAGCGCCAGGC
RNAcentral lists this long non-coding RNA (2231 nucleotides) under Canis lupus familiaris (dog). Its description in RNAcentral is "lncRNA (ENSCAFG00030012715.1)". Lineage: Eukaryota; Metazoa; Chordata; Mammalia; Carnivora; Canidae. The record is from RNAcentral.